RNAcentral lists this ribosomal RNA (1270 nucleotides) under Distenia punctulatoides. Its description in RNAcentral is "16S ribosomal RNA". The stretch from base 843 to 1203 matches the Rfam family "Archaeal large subunit ribosomal RNA", at positions 2150 to 2716 of the family's 2987-position model. The record is from RNAcentral. Lineage: Eukaryota; Metazoa; Arthropoda; Insecta; Coleoptera; Cerambycidae.
AUUUUUUAAUUUAUUAAUAAUAUUGAUUUAUAUUUGUUGAAAAAAGAAAUUUUUUAUUUAGUAGUAUUUUUGAAAAAUUUUUGGUUAUUAUAGAUAAUUUGUACUGUGAGGGAUUAUUUUAAAAUUUUAAUAAGAAUAAUUUAUUUUUAGUACCUUGUGUAUCAGGGUUUAUUUAAUUAUUUAAAUAUUUAAUUUUCUCGAAUUCAAAAGAGCUAUUAAAAAAUAUUUUUGAUUGUAAAAUAAAACUUGUUAAUUUUUUAAUAGAUGUGAAAUAUUAUUCGUUUUUGAAUAUAUCUAGUUGUUUAAGAAAUAAAUUUAAUUUGCUUGGUUUUAAUAAUAAUUUAAUUUUUUAUUUUUUGUUUAGAUUAAGUUAAAUUUUUGGGGAUUAGCUCAAUUAUUAAGUAUUAAAAAUUAUUGGUCUGUUUUUGUUUGUAGGAUUAUAAUUGUCUAUCAAUAGAAAAAUGUUAUAAUUUGUGAAAAAUUUUUUUGAUUUAUUUUUAUUUUAAGUUUUUUAUUGAACUUGAUUUUUUAAUUUAAAAUGUGUUGUGAUAAUGAUAAAAUUAGUAUAAUUUAGUGUAUUUUUAAUUUUUGUGUUAGAUUAAUAAAAGGAAUUCGGCAAAUUUAAUUUUCACCUGUUUAUUAAAAACAUGUCCUUUUGUUAAUUAUUUAAGGUCUGGCCUGCUCUAUGAUUAUUUUAAUGGCCGCGGUAUAUUGACUGUGCAAAGGUAGCAUAAUCAUUAGUUUUUUAAUUGAAAGCUGGAAUGAAAGGUUUGAUGAAAAAUUGGCUGUCUCUUUUUAAAUUUAUUAGAAUUUUAUUUUUAAGUUAAAAAGCUUAAAUGUAUUUAAAAGACGAGAAGACCCUAUAGAGUUUUAUUUAAUUUAGUUUUAAAAUUUUUGGAAUUAUAAUUUUUAAUUUUAUGUUGAAUUUGGUUGGGGCGACUUGAAAAUUAAAAUAACUUUUUUUAUGAUUUUCACUUAUUUGUGUUUAAUUGAUCUUUUAUUUUGAUUAGAAGAUUAAAUUACCUUAGGGAUAACAGCGUAAUUUUACUGGAGAGUUCAAAUCGAUAGUAUAGUUUGCGACCUCGAUGUUGGAUUAAAAUUAAAAUUUGGUGCAGAAGCCAUUUUUUUAGGUCUGUUCGACCUUUAAAAUUUUACAUGAUCUGAGUUUAGACCGGCGUGAGCCAGGUUGGUUUCUAUCUUUAAAUAGUUUAUAUAUUUUAGUACGAAAGGACCAAGUAUAUUGUUAUUAACUUGAUAUUUGAAUAAUAUU